GUGGGCGUCUUCUAAUGGUUAGGAAAUCUCGUUGUGGUGUAAGCAGGUAAGCCCCGUGAAAAUGCCGGUUCGAUUCCGGCCGCCCACA
Non-coding RNA from Cronartium quercuum f. sp. fusiforme G11, 88 nucleotides. NCBI's taxonomy places the organism in Eukaryota, Fungi, Basidiomycota, Pucciniomycetes, Pucciniales, Coleosporiaceae. The record is from the annotation of a GenBank genome assembly.